Non-coding RNA from Solanum tuberosum (potato), 102 nucleotides. Lineage: Eukaryota; Viridiplantae; Streptophyta; Magnoliopsida; Solanales; Solanaceae. The record is from Rfam.
GAUAUAUAUAGAUAUUGAUGUGGCUCAAUCUGAAGACAUGGCUAAAUAUGUAAUUAGCCAUGUGAUUUUGGAUUGAGCCGCGUCAAUAUCUCUCUCUUCCUA